Molecule: ribosomal RNA, 720 nt
Filed under: uncultured Alteromonadaceae bacterium
Lineage: Bacteria; Pseudomonadati; Pseudomonadota; Gammaproteobacteria; Alteromonadales; Alteromonadaceae
Description: bacterial SSU rRNA
Rfam family: Bacterial small subunit ribosomal RNA
Source: RNAcentral
AGGGGUAGCUUGCUACCCGCUGACGAGCGGCGGACGGGUGAGUAAUGCUUAGGAAUCUGCCCAGUAGUGGGGGACAACAAUCGGAAACGGUUGCUAAUACCGCAUACGCCCUAAGGGGGAAAGCAGGGGAUCUUCGGACCUUGCGCUAUUGGAUGAGCCUAAGUCGGAUUAGCUAGUUGGUGGGGUAAUGGCCCACCAAGGCGACGAUCCGUAGCUGGUCUGAGAGGAUGAUCAGCCACAUCGGGACUGAGACACGGCCCGAACUCCUACGGGAGGCAGCAGUGGGGAAUAUUGGACAAUGGGGGCAACCCUGAUCCAGCCAUGCCGCGUGUGUGAAGAAGGCUUUCGGGUUGUAAAGCACUUUCAGUGAGGAGGAAGGCCAAGUCGCUAAUAUCGGCUUGGAUUGACGUUACUCACAGAAGAAGCACCGGCUAACUCCGUGCCAGCAGCCGCGGUAAUACGGAGGGUACAAGCGUUAAUCGGAAUUACUGGGCGUAAAGCGCGCGUAGGUGGUUUGUUAAGCGAGAUGUGAAAGCCCCGGGCUUAACCUGGGAACGGCAUUUCGAACUGGCAGGCUAGAGUGUGGUAGAGGGUAGUGGAAUUUCCUGUGUAGCGGUGAAAUGCGUAGAUAUAGGAAGGAACACCAGUGGCGAAGGCGGCUACCUGGACCAACACUGACACUGAGGUGCGAAAGCGUGGGGAGCAAACAGGAUUAGAUAC